GGUCCCAUAGUUCAACGGAUAGAAUAGUAGUUUCCUAAACUAUAGAUCCAAGUUCGAUUCUUGGUGGGAUCA
Molecule: transfer RNA, 72 nt
Filed under: Bacteroidota bacterium
Lineage: Bacteria; Pseudomonadati; Bacteroidota
Also listed under: 4 other names
Description: Bacteroidetes bacterium tRNA-Arg
Rfam family: tRNA
About the family: Transfer RNA (tRNA) molecules are approximately 80 nucleotides in length.
Source: RNAcentral